Molecule: transfer RNA, 93 nt
Filed under: Lautropia mirabilis
Lineage: Bacteria; Pseudomonadati; Pseudomonadota; Betaproteobacteria; Burkholderiales; Burkholderiaceae
Description: tRNA-Ala(ggc)
Source: RNAcentral
GCGGGGUGGGCAAGACCACCCAUGCCGCCAGCCUGGCCUGCCGGCUGGCGGCGCUGGGCCGCAAGGUGCUGGUGGUCUCCACCGAUCCCGCUC